CAAGGCCAUUUCGGUGAAGGAUUAGCGACCCACACCGGCCCCGAGCCGUGCGUUGGCGUCAGUGAGGGCGUCGGCAGGGGAGUGCAUAGGCCAGCCGUUGAGCCGCGAAAUAGUCUUGGUUCCGGGGGCCGACGUUGUUCGCAAGACGGAAGGCAAUACGCACGAGCACGCUAUAGCAAGUGCUCGGACGACCCGGCACCUCACUCGACCC
RNAcentral lists this non-coding RNA (211 nucleotides) under Rhizobium sp. BK538. RNAcentral also lists the same sequence under 1 other name. Lineage: Bacteria; Pseudomonadati; Pseudomonadota; Alphaproteobacteria; Hyphomicrobiales; Rhizobiaceae. The record is from RNAcentral.